GACAGAGGUGGCGAGCGUUGUUCGGAAUUACUGGGCUUAAAGGGCGCGUAGGCGGUGGUGCAAGUCUGAGGUGGAAUGCUACGGCUUAACCGUAGAGCUGCCUUGGAAACUGCAUUACUUGAGUCGGUUAGGGGAUGGCGGAAUUCCUGGUGUAGCGGUGAAAUGCGUAGAUAUCAGGAGGAAGGUCUGUGGCGAAGGCGGCCAUCUGGGAUUUGACUGACGCUGAGGCGCGAAAGCGUGGGGAG
Molecule: ribosomal RNA, 245 nt
Filed under: uncultured Pseudomonadota bacterium
Lineage: Bacteria; Pseudomonadati; Pseudomonadota
Description: uncultured proteobacterium partial 16S ribosomal RNA
Rfam family: Bacterial small subunit ribosomal RNA
Source: RNAcentral